GACGAACGCUGGCGGCGUGCUUAACACAUGCAAGUCGAACGGAAAGGCCCUGCUUUCGGGGUACUCGCGUGUCGAACGGGUGAGUAACACGUGGGUGAUCUGCCCUGCACUUCUGGAUAUGCUUGGGGAACUGUGUCUAUUACCGGAUAUGAGCCCUCUUUAGGCUUGUGGUUGGAAGGUUUUUUCGGUGUAGGAUGAGCUCGCGGCCUAUCAGCUUGUUGGUGGGGUAAUGGGCUACCAAGGCGGCGACGGGUAGCCGGCCUGAGAGGGUGUACGGCCACAGUGGGACUGAGAUACGGCCCAGACUCCUACGGGAGGCAGCAGUGGGGAAUAUUGCACAAUGGGCGCAAGCCUGAUGCAGCGACGCCGCGGGGGGGAUGAAGGGCUUCGGGUUGUAAACUCCUUUCGCUAGGGACGAAGCUUUUUGUGACGGUACCUAGAGAAGAAGCACCGGCUAACUACGUG
Molecule: ribosomal RNA, 465 nt
Filed under: uncultured bacterium
Lineage: Bacteria
Description: partial 16S ribosomal RNA
Rfam family: Bacterial small subunit ribosomal RNA
Source: RNAcentral